ACAAGCGGUGGAGCAUGUGGUUAAUUCGAUGAUACGCGAGAACCUUACCGGGUUUGACAUGCAGGUGAUCGCCGUUGAAAGACGGUUUCCCCUUCGGAGGCACCUGCACAGGUGCUGCAUGGCUGUCGUCAGCUCGUGUCGUGAGAUGUUGGGUUAAGUCCCGCAACGAGCGCAACCCUUAUCCCUAGUUGCCAUCAGGUAAAGCUGGGAACUCUGGGGAGACUGCCGGUGAUAAACCGGAGGAAGCGGGGAUGACGUCAAGUCCUCAUGGCCCUUAUGACCUGGGCUACACACGUGCUACAAUGGUUGGUACAACGAGUUGCGAGUCGGUGACGGCGAGCUAAUCUCUUAAAGCCAAUCUCAGUUCGGAUUGUAGGCUGCAACUCGCCUACAUGAAGUCGGAAUCGCUAGUAAUCGCGGAUCAGCACGCCGCGGUGAAUACGUUCCCGGGCCUU
Molecule: ribosomal RNA, 455 nt
Filed under: uncultured Streptococcus sp.
Lineage: Bacteria; Bacillati; Bacillota; Bacilli; Lactobacillales; Streptococcaceae
Description: bacterial SSU rRNA
Rfam family: Bacterial small subunit ribosomal RNA
Source: RNAcentral